GACGAAGGGGGCUAGCGUUGUUCGGAAUUACUGGGCGUAAAGGGCGCGCAGGCGGCUCAUUUUGUCAGGCGUGAAAGCCCCGGGCUUAACCUGGGAACUGCGUUUGAUACGGGUGGGCUAGAGUUCGGGAGAGGAGAGUGGAAUUCCCAGUGUAGAGGUGAAAUUCGUAGAUAUUGGGAAGAACACCGGUGGCGAAGGCGGCUCUCUGGACCGAUACUGACGCUGAGGCGCGAAAGCGUGGGGAGCAAACAGG
Molecule: ribosomal RNA, 253 nt
Filed under: uncultured bacterium
Lineage: Bacteria
Description: partial 16S ribosomal RNA
Rfam family: Bacterial small subunit ribosomal RNA
Source: RNAcentral